RNAcentral lists this long non-coding RNA (956 nucleotides) under Salmo salar (Atlantic salmon). RNAcentral describes it as "lncRNA (ENSSSAG00000087968.1)". Lineage: Eukaryota; Metazoa; Chordata; Actinopteri; Salmoniformes; Salmonidae. The record is from RNAcentral.
GAAAAUAAAGACGCUCGGAAGGAGGAAGUGUAGGAUAUCUAGAAAAUAAAGACUCUCGGAAGGAGGAAGUGUAGGAUAUCUAGAAAAUAAAGACGCUCGGAAGGAGAAAGUGUAGGAUAUCUAGAAAAUAAAGACGCUCAGAAGGAGGAAGUGUAGGAUAUCUAGAAAAUAAAGACGCUCGGAAGGAGAAAGUGUAGGAUAUCUAGAAAAUAAAGACGCUCAGAUUUGAAAAUCAGAGGUUUUCCUAACAGCCUAAUCGAGGUGUUUUACAAGGCUACAUGUAAAUCCUUCUGCUGACCUUAACUAGUUGCUUAUCAACAGGGACGGCAGCGUAGCCUAGUGGUUAGUUUAGCGCGUUGGACUAGUAACCGAAAGGUUGCAAGAUCGAAUCCCCGAGCUGACAAGGUACAAAUCUGUCGUUCUGCCCCCUGAACAAGGCAGUUAACCCACUGUUCCCCGGUAGACCGUCAUUGUAAAUAAUAAGAAUUUGUUCUUAACUGACUUGCCUGGUUAAAGGUUAAACAAACAUUUAAAACAGAGAAUGACUAUCCAAACUAAGCGAGACCAGGAUUUAUCUUAACGCCGCUCCGUGCAGCCAUCGGAUAAACCCCAGGAGCCCCUCUGGACGGCUCUUAUUAACGCCGCUCCUCCGCUGUCAAAACGUCAGCUGAAAACCCCCAUCUGAUUGGAUCUACAGUAACUAGACCUUCCCUGAGCGAGACGCCGAACACAUUGACUUACCAACAUCCUGGUUACUAACGGGAGGCUGGGGGAUUCAAUCCAAUUACAGGUGGUUACUAACGGGGAGGCUGGGGGAUUCAAUCCAAUUACAGGUGGUUACUAACGGGGAGGCUGGGGGAUUCAAUCCAAUUACAGGUGGUUACUAACGGGGAGGCUGGGGGAUUCAAUCCAAUUACAGGUGGUUACUAACGGGGGAGGCUGGGGAUUCAAUCCAC